Molecule: ribosomal RNA, 232 nt
Filed under: uncultured bacterium
Lineage: Bacteria
Description: partial 16S ribosomal RNA
Rfam family: Bacterial small subunit ribosomal RNA
Source: RNAcentral
AAAUACUACGGGGGGCAGCAGUGGGGGAUAUUGCACGAUGGGGGAAACCCUGAUGCAGCGACGCCGCGUGUAGGAAGACGGUCCUCUGGAUUGUAAACUACUGUCCCCAGGGCCGAAGAUGACGGUACCUGGGGAGGAAGCUCCGGCUAACUACGUGCCAGCAGCCGCGGUAAUACGUAGGGAGCGAGCGUUGUCCGGAAUUACUGGGUGUAAAGGGAGCGUAGGCGGGGAU